GGGCCCGUAGCUCAGUUUGGGAGAGCGCUAGAAUCGCACUCUAGAGGUCGUCGGUUCGAUCCCGAUCGGGUCCA
This 74-nucleotide transfer RNA is filed under the name Bacteroidota bacterium. RNAcentral describes it as "Bacteroidetes bacterium tRNA-Ala". It matches the Rfam family "tRNA". From Rfam's summary of the family: Transfer RNA (tRNA) molecules are approximately 80 nucleotides in length. Their secondary structure includes four short double-helical elements and three loops (D, anti-codon, and T loops). Lineage: Bacteria; Pseudomonadati; Bacteroidota. The record is from RNAcentral. RNAcentral also lists the same sequence under 6 other names.